CUCUCUACUUGUAUAAUGACAUAUAAUAUAUGUAUAUGUGUUUCAAACAUACUGAAAAAUUUCUCGUUAAAGUGAAUUUAGAUUUUUUUUUAUGAUAAUGAUAUAUUUACACUAACAAGUGAGACAAUAAAAUGAGUCAAAUAGUGAAUUGUGUCUGUCUGAUGGAAUAUGAAAGUGACGUGCAAUAGGAGGGCGGGGAGAUGGAGGAAGAGAAGACGACAAAGACCAUGAAAAAGAAUGGGGUCAGUGAGUGAGGGAUGGAGGGAGGAAGAGAGAGUGUUUCGAAUAGGGAGUUGAAAAUGAAGUGGCUCUUAAUAGCAAAAAUUGAAGAAGAAAAGAAUCUAGAGUGAGAGACAAUCGUAAACCGUAGAGAGAGAAAUGAACUUCUAUUUGAAGAGUGCCUUUUUUAAAGUCGUAUUGGAUAUGUAUCAACAAUCAAUGAAAAAUAUAUAGAAAUAAAUUUAAAUAUGUUAAUAAACAAAUAAAUAGCAACGCUAUAUAUUGAAUAAAUAAGACUAAUAUUCAAACAAACGAAGUGAAGAUUAAUGCAUAGAAAUUCGUUUCUACUCUGUGUUUUGUAGUUCGAUGGACAUUUGCUUCACUAGGAUUCAACAAUCUAAGUUAAGAUUUCAGCACCAGAAAACUUGCCUUAUGACGAAUUUCCUUGUGGUUCUAUCAGUAAGAAGGUUUUGGAAUUUAGUAGAGAUGUGUCUUUUUCCUGAGUGAUGAAUGCAAUACAAAUCCAUCCAUGUAUAUAUAAUAUGCAUAUGCCUGUUCACAACAACUAUAAGAUUGAGAGGUGACUGUUCGUUCAAUAGGGAUGUACGACUUCAUCUUUUUCUCAGUGUUUUACAACAUUCUUAGACUUUAUCCGAAAAGAUGAGUCUUUUGAGAGUAAAAAGGUUAAUUAAAUUCGAAACAAAAUUUAAUAAAUUAAUUAUUGAAUUUCAUUAUUAGAGCAGAGCCCCAAGGCCCAUAUUUUGAUAAUUAAAUAAAUAUUAAAAGCAAAAGCCCAAACUCAAGACUCAAGCCCAAUUUUCUUCCUAAUAGUCUAUCUUUCAAAUCACUUGAUGGACUUGAUUUUAUAAGGUGUGUGAAACUUCUCAACUUGACCAAUGUGGGACAAAUGAGAUGAAAGGAAAUUUUCACUAAAAAACUCCAACAGUACCGCAGAUUUGAGUUAAAAUUCCAUUCAAACACUAACAAGUUGUUCUCACAGAACAUAGUGCAAUAUAUAUACCUAUGUCCUUCAUAUCAAACUUGUUGGAAAGAAAUGACUUUGCAAAACAUAAAACUCUUAUUAUUUUAAGGAUUAAGUAUCAAAAACCUCCAAAUUUUUUAUUAUUAUCUAAAUUGGUCUCAAACUUUUGAAACAUUCCAAACAAAUAUUCAACCUAUUGAAAAUGUCACAUCCGUUAAGCCCUGGUUAAAUUUUUGUUAGAUUAACUUGAGCUUACUUUGUCUCCAAAAUCAUUAGAAGGUCAUGGUAACAUAAUAGCUUCCAUCAACUAAUAGUCACCACCAAUCCCAUCAAGCCAUCACCUCCAAACGCAACACACUACCAUCAACUAUACACUACAACUCAAGCCGCUAACAUUGAAAAGAAAGUCAUGGAGAUUACUGAAAUGGCACGGACUGCCAUGAUGCUGCCACCACCAUCUUCACUACCCACAAAGAAGAACUGGAAACUUUAAGAGCCAAGAAUUGCCAAAUGAGGAACUUACAUGAACAUAAGCAAGCUGCUUGAAACCCUAUCUGAAUUCUUAACCCUCUUCUUUAUUAGGAGAUUACCCUCGUUGUAUAAUCUAUGUUUGAAAUUUAAAUUAAUUUUGAGGCAAUUAAUAUUAAUGUUGAGCAUGACAUACCCAGUUGGUGGAUUUUGAAUAUAAAAAUUGGGAUGGGGUUUCAGUGGUCGUAAAUUGAGUUUGGACAUGGCGGGGGCUUGAUAUUUCCCGAUUUCAUUUCAUUUUUGUUUUCUAUUUUAUAUGUGAAUUUGUGUAUUUAUUCUUAUUUUUUAUCUUCAUGUUUUUUUUUUUGAAGCUAAUUUAGUGUUCAACUAAGCUAAAAAGUGGGACCCAUUGUUGUCACAUGUAUAUUUAUGAAAAAAAUUAAUGGGAAAUUGCCAAAAAUGGCUUAUUUUCUUAAUCUUAGGACUAAAAUAGGACAAACCGGGCAUGUACAACAUGCACAAAGCCAUGCACACCAUCAAAAGGUGAAAUGACAAAAAUACCCACAUAUAAAAUGUACAAACUCACAGGUGAUGACGCCAUUUUUCUUAUUUUGAAGAGAUAACCAUGAGCUCUGGAUUUUUGGGUUGGCUCAAAUCUGUGAGAAUAUCAUGUUGAAUAUUUCUAUAUAUAUAUAUAUAUAUAUAUAUAUAUAUGUAUGUAUGUAUGUAUGCGUGCAUUUUGCAUUGGCAGAUAAUAGAGUUGGGUUAUUGCCCAACAAUCAUAACUCUUCAAAUUUAAACAUUGCAUCUUUUUCAUGGUUCCUGAAAAGACAUAAUUUAUGGUCAACAACUGUAUUCCUUCUCCUAGCAAAUAUGACCAUUAGGUAAUUGGUGCUAUCCAUUAAGUAUACCCAUUGAAAUGCCUUAUGGAUAAUGCUUUGUAUAUAUUCAAGUAGACCUGACCUAUUUGAACCAAUAUGAUUUCAAAAGUUAUGUACUUUCAAUUAACUUGAACAAGUGCAAUUCUCUCUAUAUAUUGAUAACAUUGGAAGAAGAGAAGAUUCAUUCAGAAAUUUGUUGUCUACAUAAUUUCCUUGCUCUCUUUACUCUCCAUACAUUCAUACAAUUUCUUUCUAGUUAUUUCUAAGAGAAUAUAAUUCAGUUUUGUUAAUCGAAUAUUUCAUACUUUGUUGUAUCCUGGAAGUGAUUUGCCAAGAACGCUUUAGCAAACUCAUUCGAGUGGGAGCAAGUAACACUUUUAAGGAAACGAUUCAAGUCAUACCUCAUAGUCAUCCUUCAAUUUAUUCUCUAUAUUUCUACAUUUACUCCAACAUAUCAUGUGCAUGUCACUGGAAAUAGAUGAUUUUUAAUGGGAUUUCCAUAAUCUAGGUUCAUGUAAAAGAUUUGUAAACUACAAAUCUUUAAGGGAUUUCCAGCAUCUAGGCCCCUGCAUAUCCCCCAACGCCGUUAAUUGCACGAUACACAUCCACAACAAAAUCGAUAUACGUUCCAAAUAUUGCAUCAAGAACCCUAAUUUCUCAUAGUAGAAAUAAAAAUCCCAAAUUAAGAAAUUGAAAGCUUCAUCUUUACCGCGACAUCAGAAAAUGAUCCAUUGUAACAAUAAGACAAGGGCUAAGAAAAAUAAUAGACUAGAGGGAGGGAGGGAGACAAGGGCUAAGAAAAAUAAUAGAAUAGAGGGAGGGAGGGAGGGAGGGAGGGAGGGAGGGAGAGAGAGGGAGAGAGAAAAUGUGAAGGUGAAGAAGAAGGAGAUCAAAGUAGAAUGUUAAUAUGUUGUUUUACCUAUCAAAUAAGCAAGUAAUUGACUGCACUUAUUAUACAAGCAAAGGAAAAAGAAGAGCAGUUAUUAGAGAGAGAGAGAUUCAUCAAUCAAUUCCUUUGACUCUGUCUUAUCAAUUGCAAUCCUCAUACUUGCUUAUAUCUUUCAAGAUCAUAAUCUCAAGAGUAAAUUGUAGCAAUGAUUCUUCAACUUUAAUCAAAUGAGAGUAAUGGUCCAUCAACUAAAAAUUCAUUACCAUGGGUCUCUCUCAACUCAUGAAAAUGUGUAGUUAUGGUCAUUUUCGUCAACUUCGUUAGAAUUUUGUCAAAAUAAGUUAUGUU
Molecule: long non-coding RNA, 3787 nt
Filed under: Malus domestica (apple)
Lineage: Eukaryota; Viridiplantae; Streptophyta; Magnoliopsida; Rosales; Rosaceae
Description: long non-coding RNA (MDOM_LNC013697)
Source: RNAcentral